ACUAACAUGUGGCCCCGUGGCCUAAUGGACAAGGCGUCUGACUUCUAAUCAGAAGACUGUGGGUUCGAGUCCCACCGGGGUCAU
RNAcentral lists this transfer RNA (84 nucleotides) under Meloidogyne enterolobii. Its description in RNAcentral is "tRNA-Arg". The stretch from base 11 to 83 matches the Rfam family "tRNA". From Rfam's summary of the family: Transfer RNA (tRNA) molecules are approximately 80 nucleotides in length. Their secondary structure includes four short double-helical elements and three loops (D, anti-codon, and T loops). Further hydrogen bonds mediate the characteristic L-shaped molecular structure. tRNAs have two regions of fundamental functional importance: the anti-codon, which is responsible for specific mRNA codon recognition, and the 3' end, to which the tRNAs corresponding amino acid is attached (by aminoacyl-tRNA synthetases). tRNAs cope with the degeneracy of the genetic code in two manners: having more than one tRNA (with a specific anti-codon) for a particular amino acid; and 'wobble' base-pairing, i.e. permitting non-standard base-pairing at the 3rd anti-codon position. The record is from RNAcentral. Lineage: Eukaryota; Metazoa; Nematoda; Chromadorea; Rhabditida; Meloidogynidae.